RNAcentral lists this long non-coding RNA (515 nucleotides) under Homo sapiens (human). RNAcentral's name for it is "non-protein coding lnc-BAZ2A-1:2". The record is from RNAcentral. Lineage: Eukaryota; Metazoa; Chordata; Mammalia; Primates; Hominidae.
GUAGUUUGCUCCCAGAAAAGCUGGGAUUUGGGGAAAUGCUGAGUUAUGGGGGUGUGGACACUUCCUCUAGGUCCUGACUCUGGAGUGGUUCCCAGCUCACAGUUUGGGAGGAUCCAACACCAACCUUUACGUGAAGUGGAGGCCCAAGGACAGUGAGGAGCUGGGUGGUCCCAGCCUGGAGCUGUGCCAGCCUGACAUGGGAAUCUUUCCUUUCCGGUGACCAGGGCCCUGCAGAUGUCGCCAGGAAAGUGGUGAUCCAGGCAGGACCAGGCUGCACUGAAGGGACAGAGAAAUGGAGGCAAACGACCAUUUUAACUUUACUGGCCUUCCCCCUGCACCUGCUGCCUCAGGACUGAAACCCUCUCCUUCCUCAGGGGAGGGCCUCUACACUAACGGGUCUCCCAUGAACUUCCCCCAGCAAGGGAAAAGUUUGAAUGGGGAUGUGAAUGUUAAUGGCUUAUCUACUGUAUCUCACACUACUACUUCAGGGAUUUUGAACUCUGCUCCCCACUCCU